GAACGCACAUUGCGCCCCUUGGUAUUCCGGGGGGCAUGCCUGUUCGAGCGUCAUUAUAACCCCUCAAGCUCAGCUUGGUGUUGGGGCCUGCCAACUGGCAGCCCUUAAAAUCAGUGGCGGCGCCAUCUGGCUCUAAGCGUAGUAAUUUCUCUCGCUAUAGGGUCCCGGUGGACGCUGGCCAGCAACCCCCAAUUUUUUAAUGGUUGACCUCGGAUCAGGUAGGGAUACCCGCUGAACUUAAG
Molecule: unclassified non-coding RNA, 242 nt
Filed under: Helicodendron luteoalbum
Lineage: Eukaryota; Fungi; Ascomycota; Leotiomycetes; Helotiales; Helotiaceae
Description: sequence contains 5.8S rRNA gene
Rfam family: 5.8S ribosomal RNA (bases 1-53)
Source: RNAcentral